Molecule: long non-coding RNA, 577 nt
Filed under: Nicotiana benthamiana
Lineage: Eukaryota; Viridiplantae; Streptophyta; Magnoliopsida; Solanales; Solanaceae
Description: long non-coding RNA (NBEN_LNC038064)
Source: RNAcentral
AGUUAAACCAAUCCCUCAGCAGCUUCGCCAAACCCCACUUCCCCCUGUUUUACUCACACUCUCUUCUAUUUCACUAAAUUCCUCUCCCCAAACAACCAUUGCACCAAUUUGUCUUUGUUAAACCAACAAAAGUAGGUGAAGAAUCAUCCACUCUUGUACUGUUUUCCCUCACAGUACUCCUAGAACCUUUGCUCUCUUUUCUUUUUUUUUUUUCAUUUUUACCACUAACUUCUCUAGAUUAUAUAGUCUCAACACCUGCUAUGCAUCCUAUAAGUCUAUUCUAAAAAUUUACAGCAACUUAGAAAUUGUCUCAGGAGAACGUUUAGAGUCAGAAGAUACCUUUUCAGUUUUGGAAGACCUACUUUCUUCCCCCCUUAGUAGUAGACUUAAAUGGAUCUUAGGAUUCUUCUUCCUUACCCUCUUUCAAUUGCUUGUUUAUUUUCUUGAUCUCCUCUCCUUCAGAGGUGUUCGACAAUCUAGGCUAGGGCAUGGAAAAGAAGAGAAUUAGAUUGUAUUUGGAAGACAAAAGAAGAAUGAGAGUUUUGACAGUUUGAGAAAGAUGAAGUAAGAAAUAAAA